AGACCCGAAACCCGGUGAUCUAGCCAUGGGCAGGUUGAAGGUUGGGUAACACUAACUGGAGGACCGAACCGACUAAUGUUGAAAAAUUAGCGGAUGACCUGUGGCUGGGGGUGAAAGGCCAAUCAAACCGGGAGAUAGCUGGUUCUCCCCGAAAGCUAUUUAGGUAGCGCCUCGUGAAUUCAUCUCCGGGGGUAGAGCACUGUUUCGGCUAGGGGGCCAUCCCGGCUUACCAACCCGAUGCAAACUGCGAAUACCGGAGAAUGUUAUCACGGGAGACACACGGCGGGUGCUAACGUCCGUCGUGAAGAGGGAAACAACCCAGACCGCCAGCUAAGGUCCCAAAGUCAUGGUUAAGUGGGAAACGAUGUGGGAAGGCCCAGACAGCCAGGAUGUUGGCUUAGAAGCAGCCAUCAUUUAAAGAAAGCGUAAUAGCUCACUGGUCGAGUCGGCCUGCGCGGAAGAUGUAACGGGGCUAAACCAUGCACCGAAGCUGCGGCAGCGAACGUAUCACCCAAGACAACUUUACGGAGUUGACGAUUGACGGAGCGAAGCGACGUCAAAGCGUUCAUUAAAGUCGAGUUGGCUUAGGGAUACGUUCGUUGGGUAGGGGAGCGUUCUGUAAGCCUGUGAAGGUGUGUCGUGAGGCAUGCUGGAGGUAUCAGAAGUGCGAAUGCUGACAUAAGUAACGAUAAAGCGGGUGAAAAGCCCGCUCGCCGGAAGACCAAGGGUUCCUGUCCAACGUUAAUCGGGGCAGGGUGAGUCGACCCCUAAGGCGAGGCCGAAAGGCGUAGUCGAUGGGAAACGGGUUAAUAUUCCCGUACUUGGUGUUACUGCGAAGGGGGGACGGAGAAGGCUAUGUUGGCCGGGCGACGGUUGUCCCGGUUUAAGCGUGUAGGUGUGUGUUCCAGGUAAAUCCGGUUCACUUUAACACUGAGGCGUGACGACGAGGCACUACGGUGCUGAAGCAACAAA
This 972-nucleotide ribosomal RNA is filed under the name Salmonella enterica. Its description in RNAcentral is "partial 23S ribosomal RNA". It matches the Rfam family "Bacterial large subunit ribosomal RNA", at positions 711 to 1597 of the family's 2925-position model. RNAcentral also lists the same sequence under 1 other name. The record is from RNAcentral. Lineage: Bacteria; Pseudomonadati; Pseudomonadota; Gammaproteobacteria; Enterobacterales; Enterobacteriaceae.